This is a long non-coding RNA of Maniola jurtina (meadow brown), 149 nucleotides long. RefSeq lists it as uncharacterized. NCBI's taxonomy places the organism in Eukaryota, Metazoa, Arthropoda, Insecta, Lepidoptera, Nymphalidae. The transcript has 3 exons. The record is from RefSeq and is a predicted model, not a curated record.
GGGAUGUCGUCCGUGUAUCUGCCAUAGCAGACGGGCGACAGGCAGCUUCCCUGAGGCACACCGGCUCGGAUGGGGCGCUCCGUGGACAGGGCGUCUUCAACCGCCACUUGAAAACGUCUGUCUCGCAAAAAGGACUUGGUUACAGAUUG